GCCUGGCGCGGUGGCUCUGCCUGUAAUACCAGGGAGGCCGAUGUGGGCGGAUGACCUGAGGUCAGGAGUUCGAGACCAACCUGGCCAACAUGGCGAAACCCCAUCUCUACUAAAAAUACCAAAAAAAAAAAGUUAGCCAGACGUUGUGGCGGGUGCAGAGUCUGAGGGAGGCGAAUUGCUUCAACCUACCUGGAAGGUGGAGGUUGCAGUGCACUGCAGCCUGGGCGACAGAGUGAGACUCUGUCUCCGAAAAUAAAUAAAUAAAUAACAUUCUUUAACAUGGGAAGAAAAAAAAUUCAAUCCUAUUACAAACACAGAAAUAAACCAAUCAACCAACCAACACCAAACAGGUAUUUUGUUUGAAGUGUACUGACUCAUAAACGCAAUUAACUUUAAAAUAAAUUCCAAUUACUUCAACUCCGACUUUCACUACUG
This 435-nucleotide long non-coding RNA is filed under the name Homo sapiens (human). Its description in RNAcentral is "non-protein coding lnc-CLDN16-9:1". The record is from RNAcentral. Lineage: Eukaryota; Metazoa; Chordata; Mammalia; Primates; Hominidae.